Molecule: ribosomal RNA, 468 nt
Filed under: uncultured bacterium
Lineage: Bacteria
Description: partial 16S ribosomal RNA
Rfam family: Bacterial small subunit ribosomal RNA
Source: RNAcentral
GACGAACGCUGGCGGCGUGCUUAACACAUGCAAGUCGAACGGAAAGGCCCUGCUUUUGUGGGGUGCUCGAGUGGCGAACGGGUGAGUAACACGUGAGUAACCUGCCCUUGACUUUGGGAUAACUUCAGGAAACUGGGGCUAAUACCGGAUAGGAGCUCCUGCUGCAUGGUGGGGGUUGGAAAGUUUCGGCGGUUGGGGAUGGACUCGCGGCUUAUCAGCUUGUUGGUGGGGUAGUGGCCUACCAAGGCUUUGACGGGUAGCCGGCCUGAGAGGGUGACCGGCCACAUUGGGACUGAGAUACGGCCCAGACUCCUACGGGAGGCAGCAGUGGGGAAUAUUGCACAGUGGGCGGAAGCCUGAUGCAGCAACGCCGCGUGCGGGAUGACGGCCUUCGGGUUGUAAACCGCUUUCGCCUGUGACGAAGCGUGAGUGACGGUAAUGGGUAAAGAAGCACCGGCUAACUACGUG